UGGGGAAUUUUGGACAAUGGGCGAAAGCCUGAUCCAGCAAUGCCGCGUGUGUGAAGAAGGCCUUCGGGUUGUAAAGCACUUUUGUCCGGAAAGAAAUCCUUGGCUCUAAUACAGUCGGGGGAUGACGGUACCGGAAGAAUAAGCACCGGCUAACUACGUGCCAGCAGCCGCGGUAAUACGUAGGGUGCAAGCGUUAAUCGGAAUUACUGGGCGUAAAGCGUGCGCAGGCGGUUUGCUAAGACCGAUGUGGAAUCCCCGGGCUCAACCUGGGAACUGCAUUGGUGACUGGCAGGCUAGAGUAUGGCAGAGGGGGGUUAGAAUUCCACGUGUAGCAGUGAAAUGCGUAGAGAUGUGGAGGAAUACCGAUGGCGAAGGCAGCCCCCUGGGCCAAUACUGACGCUCAUGCACGAAAGCGUGGGGAGCAAAGCAGGAUUAGAUACCCUGGUAGUCCACGCCCUAAACGAUGUCAACUAGUUGUUGGGGACUUCAUUUUCCUUAGUAACGUAGCUAACGCGUGAAGUUGACCGCCUGGGGAGUACGGUCGCAAGAUUAAAACUCAAAUGAAUUGACGGGGUCAUAGCUG
Molecule: ribosomal RNA, 583 nt
Filed under: uncultured bacterium
Lineage: Bacteria
Description: partial 16S ribosomal RNA
Rfam family: Bacterial small subunit ribosomal RNA
Source: RNAcentral